UACGUAGGGCGCAAGCGUUGUCCGGAAUCAUUGGGCGUAAAGAGCGUGUAGGCGGUCCGGUAAGUCCGCUGUGAAAGUCGGGGGCUCAACCCUCGAAUGCCGGUGGAUACUGUCGGGCUAGAGUGCGGAAGAGGCGAGUGGAAUUCCUGGUGUAGCGGUGAAAUGCGCAGAUAUCAGGAGGAACACCUAUUGCGAAGGCAGCUCGCUGGGACGUAACUGACGCUGAGACGCGAAAGCGUGGGGAGCAAACAGG
This 253-nucleotide ribosomal RNA is filed under the name uncultured bacterium. Its description in RNAcentral is "partial 16S ribosomal RNA". It matches the Rfam family "Bacterial small subunit ribosomal RNA", at positions 524 to 776 of the family's 1533-position model. The record is from RNAcentral.